Non-coding RNA from Acanthosepion pharaonis, 115 nucleotides. The record is from the annotation of a GenBank genome assembly. NCBI's taxonomy places the organism in Eukaryota, Metazoa, Mollusca, Cephalopoda, Sepiida, Sepiidae.
AUGACCAGAUCACAUUGAAACACCAAUUCCAGUAUGAUCACCAAAGUUAAGCAAUGUCAAGAAGCCUGGUCAGUACCUAGAUGGGUGACCACUUGGGAAUACCAGGUGCUGUAAG